RNAcentral lists this ribosomal RNA (995 nucleotides) under uncultured organism. RNAcentral describes it as "bacterial SSU rRNA". It matches the Rfam family "Bacterial small subunit ribosomal RNA", at positions 356 to 1376 of the family's 1533-position model. The record is from RNAcentral.
GGGGAAUAUUGCACAAUGGGGGAAACCCUGAUGCAGCGACGCCGCGUGGAGGAAGAAGGUCUUCGGAUUGUAAACUCCUGUUGUUGGGGAAGAUAAUGACGGUACCCAACAAGGAAGUGACGGCUAACUACGUGCCAGCAGCCGCGGUAAAACGUAGGUCACAAGCGUUGUCCGGAAUUACUGGGUGUAAAGGGAGCGCAGGCGGGAAGACAAGUUGGAAGUGAAAUCUAUGGGCUCAACCCAUAAACUGCUUUCAAAACUGUUUUUCUUGAGUAGUGCAGAGGUAGGCGGAAUUCCCGGUGUAGCGGUGGAAUGCGUAGAUAUCGGGAGGAACACCAGUGGCGAAGGCGGCCUACUGGGCACCAACUGACGCUGAGGCUCGAAAGUGUGGGUAGCAAACAGGAUUAGAUACCCUGGUAGUCCACACCGUAAACGAUGAUUACUAGGUGUUGGAGGAUUGACCCCUUCAGUGCCGCAGUUAACACAAUAAGUAAUCCACCUGGGGAGUACGACCGCAAGGUUGAAACUCAAAGGAAUUGACGGGGGCCCGCACAAGCAGUGGAGUAUGUGGUUUAAUUCGACGCAACGCGAAGAACCUUACCAAGUCUUGACAUCCCUUGACAGACAUAGAAAUAUGUAAUCUCUUCGGAGCAAGGAGACAGGUGGUGCAUGGUUGUCGUCAGCUCGUGUCGUGAGAUGUUGGGUUAAGUCCCGCAACGAGCGCAACCCUUAUGGUCAGUUACUACGCAAGAGGACUCUGGCCAGACUGCCGUUGACAAAACGGAGGAAGGUGGGGAUGACGUCAAAUCAUCAUGCCCUUUAUGACUUGGGCUACACACGUACUACAAUGGCGUUAAACAAAGAGAAGCAAGACCGCGAGGGGGAGCAAAACUCAGAAACAACGUCCCAGUUCGGACUGCAGGCUGCAACUCGCCUGCAGGAAGUCGGAAUUGCUAGUAAUCGUGGAUCAGCAUGCCACGGGGAAUACGUUCCCG